UUUGGAAUAUUGCACAAUGGGGGGAAACCCUGAUGCAGCGACGCCGCGUGGAGGACGAAGGAUCUAGGUCUGUAAACUCCUUUUGCCAGGAAAGACUUAGGACGGUACCUGGCGAAUAAGCCCCGGCUAACUACGUGCCAGCAGCCGCGGUAAGACGUAGGGGGCGAGCGUUGUCCGGAUUUACUGGGCGUAAAGAGCGCGUAGGCGGCUAGUUAAGUGAGAAGUGAAAUCUCCAGGGCUCAACCCGGAAACUGCUUUUCAUACUGGCCAGCUAGAGGGACGCAGGGGUGACUGGAAUUCCCGGUGUAGCGGUGAAAUGCAUUGAUAUCGGGAGGAACUCCAACAGCGAAGGCAGGUCACUGGGCGUUUCCUGACGCUGAGGCGCGAAAGCGUGGGUAGCAAACAGGAUU
This 410-nucleotide ribosomal RNA is filed under the name uncultured Fimbriimonas sp. Its description in RNAcentral is "bacterial SSU rRNA". It matches the Rfam family "Bacterial small subunit ribosomal RNA", at positions 355 to 779 of the family's 1533-position model. Lineage: Bacteria; Bacillati; Armatimonadota; Fimbriimonadia; Fimbriimonadales; Fimbriimonadaceae. The record is from RNAcentral.